Long non-coding RNA from Neofelis nebulosa (Clouded leopard), 2761 nucleotides. RefSeq lists it as uncharacterized. The record is from RefSeq and is a predicted model, not a curated record. NCBI's taxonomy places the organism in Eukaryota, Metazoa, Chordata, Mammalia, Carnivora, Felidae. The transcript is spliced from 8 exons.
AGGGGCCUUGGCCGAGGGGUCCGCGCGCCGGGGCCUCGUCGGAGGGCAAGGGUCGCGCUCCCGCGGGCGCUGAGGGUCCCCAGCCCGCGAGCUGGGCCUGUGCGGGCUUAAGGUUUAAGGAAGACGGGCUCGACCGGCGAGUGGCGCACGCUGCGAGAACCCCAGGCCCACGCUGUCGGUCAGCGCUGGCGGUUUGUGUCCCGGGGUCGGCUCAGCAAGUUUCCUGGGAAUGGGCCCGAAGCGGACAGGGAUUGAGAAACGGAAAUACCACCACCCUCCAGCCAAACUUGUGAGGACUGAUUGCAGGGAAACUGGUGCUCCAGAUGUUGCACUAGAGGCGCUGCAAGUGUGAGCAGGUGGCAUUGGGCCUGCAUCACAGGUUGUAGCAGAUGUUCUCAACAUUUCUAUCGAGACUUCCUUAUAUCCACUUGCAAGAGGAGCCCAAGAGCCUCAUCCCUGUGGUAGCUACCAUUCUCUGAUAUAAGCUGUUGUUCACCAGGGAGCUUUGGCAAGAGAAUUGGCCAGAUCAGCGAGUUCAUCUCCCUUGGGGAAAAACAACGUGAAGCUCAUCUCUGUUGAAGAAUGAUAGUUGUUUUGGUGGAGGGACUGAUUCUAGAGCUUCCUACUCUGCCAUCUUCCAUGACACUGCUCCCUGCCAUGUCCACUCUUAAAAGUGUUCCAGUUUGGAAAAUAAUUUUUUUGGUCACCCAUUGGAUUAAUGGGCAAAACAUGAACUUCACUCUGAAUUUCUCCUGAAAUUUUAAAGUUUACUUUUUCAAGACUCAUUUUGAAUUACAGAGAUCAUCUUCUACCUUAGCCUCUUUUGGGAGGAUUUCCAAAAGAAUCCACUUCAAGGAAACACAGACUUGAAAACUCUCCUCCAUGGUUUUGUCUGAACUGGCUGCCAUUCUGUAGCACACACUGGAUCCAGUUGCUGAAGUGGGGGAACCUGAGAGGUGCGUGAGCUGGCAAGAGUGACCAUUUAGGCGCGUGAGUCAAGUGGGCCUGCGUGAAAGGAUGUAGAUGUACUGUCUGUAGGACAGGGGUAGACUGAAUACCUGCUUCACUGAAUACCUGCUUCACAUCACCUUUCACAUUUUCUUAUUGGAAAGACAGCCGUUGGAGAAUCAUCUUGUUACCAUCAGCAAAAAUGCAAACAAAUCAAGACAUUAAGAAUGCCACAGUGGCCAGCAGUUAAUGAUGCCAGUGUUACACAAGCUUCGGCAAAGUUUUCAAGACAGUGUGCCUCACUAGCCAUAAAUCAGGAAAGAUUGAACUUAUCCUUUUUUGUCUCAGCUGUUCCUUAAAUCAAUGCAACCCCUCCAAAUUAAUGUGAAUUCAAACAUGCAUUGUCUUUUCAGCUUAAUUGAGUACUUACUAUGUGUGAAUCACUGCACAAAAUAGGGGAGGGAAAAUGAGGGAGACAAUUAGGAUGUGUUUCCUGCCUUCAAUGGAUUUACAAUUAGUUUCAGGGCACUUUUUUUCUUCUGCUCUUAAUUAAGUGUGUCCCUAAGAUAGAAAACAAAUGAAUGGAAAAGUGUAUUCUGCAAGUAUUUUAAAUCCCUUUAAUAAAACACAAAACAAAACAAAACAAAACAAAACAAAAUAAUCUAAUGUGGGCAACUCAGGACAUCUUCCAUUUUUUUGGAGUUUCAAUAGGUAGGAUUUAUUUCAUUGAUUUUAUAAAUAUUCAGUAGAUGUUAGAGAUAUUAACACAUUAUAGUUGGAGUUAAUUGAAUUAAAUUUUUUUUUCCCCUUUAGGUGUAGAUUGUCUGUUGGAAAAGUAUAUUGUGUUUGUACAUUUCUUGCAGAGUAGGUAGAUGAAUUACAUCUGUUGUCUCUGUAGGCCUCUACCUUCUGUGCCCUAGGGGCCUGACAUUCUGAGUGAGUUAUUAGCGUGGGGAAGGGAAGAUUUGGAUCAAACUUGGGAAAGCUCAUGGACCCAAGAUAGGGCAGGGAAGGAGCAAAACAGACCUAGGCAGUUACUCUGUAGGAAAACUUGGCUGUUUUAGUGUUCAUUGUGUUGUUUUCUAUGUUCCAAAAUUACUGUACAGUUUUUUCAAAAAUUUAUUUCUGAUCUGGGAAUAAGUCAUGAUUUUUCCAAUGUUAAGGCACUAAUAUGACUGCAGACACUGGACAUUUUAUGUAGUGUAUGUAACACACAUUUUAGUAUGUACGAACCAACAAUAGACAUGUCUUUGUCUUCAGUAGUGUCCAUCUGAAUUGAAAAUGUGCCAGCUUUUUUUUUCUUAAAAUCAUUAUCAACAGACUUCUUAAUUAAGCUGCCAAUACAUACUGCCAAUAGCACUAUGUGCCCUUUGAGAAAUGAAUCGUGUAAGUGCUGUUUCCCUCUUACUGAAUAAACAAUGUUGCUCCAUAGAAAAUGGAUUUAAAAUGUUCUUUGAAUAGGAAAUUAUAUUGCUUCCGAAAGAAUUUGAUAAGAAUUCUCAUACCUUCCUUUCUUUACUUAAUUUCCAAAAACUUUUAUUUGCUCCUCAAUAAGGAAUAGUUCUAAUUUGACUGAUAACUUUAGUUGUAUGAGUCAUCCUUAAUAGGAUGCCUGCCCCCAAACUCCUGAUGGUGAUAUUGGAUAUUUGUUAAUCAGAGUUACAAAACUAUAUUGUAUGAAACUGUAGCAUUUGUUUCCUAUUCUGGGAAAAUCUGUGGAGGGACCAUCUCUGUGUUCCCAGAACCUAGCACAGUACCUGGUGCAUAGUAAGUAUAUGUUGAGUAACAUUUGGUGAUUAAAAUGUGUAAAGUA